RNAcentral lists this ribosomal RNA (798 nucleotides) under uncultured Bacillota bacterium. RNAcentral describes it as "bacterial SSU rRNA". It matches the Rfam family "Bacterial small subunit ribosomal RNA", at positions 71 to 902 of the family's 1533-position model. The record is from RNAcentral. Lineage: Bacteria; Bacillati; Bacillota.
AAAGUGGAGCAAUCCAUGAGUACAGUGGCGUACGGGUGAGUAACACGUGGGUGAUCUACCUCUUAGUGGGGAAUAACCCUGGGAAACCGGGGCUAAUACCGCAUAAGCUCGAGAGAGGAAAGCAGCAAUGCGCUGAGAGAGGAGCCCGCGGCCGAUUAGCUAGUUGGUAGGGUAAGAGCCUACCAAGGCUGAGAUCGGUAGCCGGCCUGAGAGGGCACACGGCCACACUGGCACUGAAACACGGGCCAGACUCCUACGGGAGGCAGCAGUGGGGAAUCUUGCACAAUGGGGGAAACCCUGAUGCAGCGACGCCGCGUGAGCGAUGAAGCCCUUCGGGGUGUAAAGCUCUUUCGGCAGGGAAGAUUAUGACGGUACCUGCAGAAGCAGCUGCGGCUAACUACGUGCCAGCAGCCGCGGUAAUACGUAGGCAGCGAGCGUUGUUCGGAGUUACUGGGCGUAAAGGGUGUGUAGGCGGUUCUUUAAGUUUGGUGUGAAAUCUCCCGGCUCAACCGGGAGGGUGCGCCGAAUACUGAGGGACUAGAGUGCGGGAGAGGAAAGUGGAAUUCCUGGUGUAGCGGUGAAAUGCGUAGAUAUCAGGAGGAACACCGGUGGUGUAGACGGCUUUCUGGACCGUAACUGACGCUGAGACACGAAAGCGUGGGUAGCAAACAGGAUUAGAUACCCUGGUAGUCCACGCCCUAAACGAUGCAUAUUUGGUGUGGGUCAUUCAGUUGAUCCGUGCCGGAGCUAACGCGUUAAAUAUGCCGCCUGGGGAGUACAGUCGCAAGGCUGAAACUC